This is a long non-coding RNA of Fukomys damarensis (Damara mole-rat), 2919 nucleotides long. RefSeq lists it as uncharacterized. The record is from RefSeq and is a predicted model, not a curated record. The transcript has 3 exons. NCBI's taxonomy places the organism in Eukaryota, Metazoa, Chordata, Mammalia, Rodentia, Bathyergidae.
UAUUAUAGGUGUGUGCCACCACGCCCAGCCAUGUUGUUUUUAUUUUCAAUAAAGGUGCUGCUAUGUAGUGAUUUAGCUGCUGUCUUUUGCAGAUUUAGCCUAAAAGCAAAAAAAGUAUUUUCCUGAAAAUGUACAAAUAUGUUCCCGUAUACAAAGACCUGACUUGAUAGGAAAACAUUGCUUAAUCAUGACAUUUUGUACUGUUUUCUCCUUCUGGUCUUUUGUUAUUUCUGUGGGAGGACACAGCCAUGGAGAUGAGAGGAGGAACAAAUUGGUAGGUUCUAAGAGAUCUGGCUUACUUAGAAUGAAAACAGACUCAACAUGACUGCUAUAAGGUACUUAAGCCAGAGUUACUUGUCACAGAGUUAUCUUUGUCUUGAAGAGAAACCUUCCCAGAGUGUUUGGUUUUGAACUUUGGUAGAACAUGUGUGAUUGUUCCUUUUAGAAAAACAUCCAAAUUCUAGUAAUCCUGCUUUUUUACCUUCAUGAUCUGGUUGGGACCACCAUGGUUUUUAAACAUCCCACCCUACCCUGUGAAAGAAGAAAACAUUUUAAAGAAUUACAGAGGCAAAGCCAUAUGUAAAAGUCUCUUAUUAUUGUGCUCUUUAUUGUUGGGCUAUUCUUUGUGAUUUCAGAGCCAUAGUGCUAUCAUUCUAAUCAGAGUUAACUGUGCUAUUGUUAUCUAAGGUUCAAAAGUAUUUGGAAGCAAGUCAAGUUCAGACAGCUUAGAAUUGGUGGGAAGAAGAUGGUGAUAUAACAGAAACAAUAAGGAAGCUGGACGCAAACAAGAGACAUGAACAUAUAUGCAUUAAUAUUUAUUUUUGAAGAAUACACAUGAAACUGCUUAGUGGUUAUUGCUACGGAGCAAGAGGGAUAUGUACAUUGGGACAAUGCCCCUAUCUAGACACUGAGGAAUCCAUACUUUCUCCAUCUUGUACCAUAACCUUAUCAUGUGGUUUCUAAGGUAUUACAGCAGGAAAAAGAAGGAUGGAGGAUGCAGGAACAGCUUCUGAUUAUUCUGCCUUUCUGGAAGUGACAUGUAUCACUUUUACUCAUGAUUCAUUGGCCAGAAAUGAUCAUAUGGGACCAGCAUAAUCAUCAGGAAGGUAGGAAACUUAAGGAAGUAGGUGAAACAUUCUGAUGAUCACCAAUUGUCUAUGCUAGAGUUAGUGAUGAAGUAACAUUUUUCUAAGUUGUCUCACCAUCCUUUUUAAUAUAAUUUAAAAGUUAUAGUAAAGUUUAAAUAAUAGCACUCAUAUCCGCCAAACCCAAACUUGACAAAUGUUAAGAUUUUUCAUAUUUGUCUCUAUUUUUUAUAAUACGGUGAACUGAAAUAUGGUGGUGCCUCAGUUCGCAAACUUUAUUCUUUCCACGAUUCUUGUUGCAAACCAGAUUGGGUAAGGACUGAAUCAAAUUCAAUGGUUAGGUUCAGUACUGACCUUCUGUAGGGGAAAAUUUGAUUCAGAAAGAAUUAAAUUCAUGAACCAAGGUGCUACUGUAUAUUCACAUAACAUACAAUUUAUCCUUUCAAGAGCAAUUAUGUAGAAUUUAGUAUAUUUAUACAGUUAUGUGACCAUUACCAACAUCAUGUUAGAUCGUUUUCAUGGCCUUCAAAAGAGGAACAGUUACUCUCUGCUCUCUGUUGACACCCAAGCCCUGGCAGCAACUAAUCAACUUUCUGUUUCUGUGUUUGCCUCUUCUGGAAUUUCAUAUUUCCUUAUAUUAUAAUAUUUGAUGUUACAAUAUGUAGGCAGUUGUGACUGGAUUCUUUCAUUAAACACAGUGUUUUUAAGGUUCAUCAGUAGUUAUAUAUACCAGUACUUUGCCAUUUUAAUUUAUGAAUAAUAUUCUAUUUUAUGGAUGUUCCAUAUUUUGUCUCUAUCUGUUGAUGGACAGUUGAGCCAUUUUUUGGCUAUCAUGGAUAAUUUUCCUAUAAACAUUUGUUUAUGCAUUUUUGUUUAAACAUAUUUCCAAUUUUUGUGGGUAUAUAAUACUUUAUGUUUAAUAUUUUGAGAAACUGCUAAACUGUUUUCCAUACAGUGUAUUCUGCUGGUGUUGAAUGGAACGUUCUGUAGAUACGUUAGGUGUAGUUAGUUUGUGUUGUUAUUCAGAUCUUCUAUUUCCUUAUGAUCUCCUGAGUAGUUAUUCUACUAUUUGAAAUGAGGUAUUGAACAAUUGUUAUUGAUGGAUUUUCUAUUUCUUCCUUCAAUUUUGUCAGUUUUGCUUCAUGCAUAUUGGUAUUCUGCUGUAUAAUGCAUGUGUAUCUAUAAUUGUUAGGUCUUUCUGAUAAAUUGCCUGUUUUUAUCAAAAAGUUCUUUUCUCUUUAUCUAGUAAUAAGUUUUGCUUUUAAGUUUAUUUUGUCUGAUAUCAGUAUAGCUACUUUGCUUUUCUGUUUUAAAGUGGUAGGUAUUAAACUCAGUGUCUUGUCCUUGCUAGGUAAGUAUUCUUCCACUGAGGAGCUCAGAGGCCCACUCUUACUCUUUUGCUUACUGCUUGGAUGGAAUAUCUUCUAACCUUUGACUUUAAACCUAUUUUUAAUGUAAUUUAAAUAAUUUAAACUUUAAAGUGUGUUUAUUAAAUAAGUGUAAUUUAUACAUUGAAAUCUUUGCCUUUCUAGGAUUUAGUAUAACUUGUGAGGUGGGAAUUUGACCCCACCUCUGGAAUGUACAUCAUCCUAAGUACAAACUGAAUAACCCAGCAUUUCUGCACUGAUUUGAAAAGCUAAUUUUACUUUAGGUCAUAUCUGGAGGCUUCAUUCUAUUAAGAUUUAUUUAAAUGGAUUUAUUAGCAUUGCUUUCUAUUUUAUUGGUUUAUGUAUUUCCCCUAUAUUGCUCUCCUUUGCCAAAAUUUUCCUGUUUGUGCCAGGCGUGGUGGCACAUGCCUGUAAUCCCAGCACUUAGGAAGCUGAGGCAGGAGGAU